Molecule: ribosomal RNA, 408 nt
Filed under: uncultured Protaspa
Lineage: Eukaryota; Cercozoa; Thecofilosea; Cryomonadida
Description: partial small subunit ribosomal RNA
Rfam family: Eukaryotic small subunit ribosomal RNA
Source: RNAcentral
GCUUGUCUCAAAGAUUAAGCCAUGCAUGUCUAAGUAUAAACAACUUUAUACUGUGAAACUGCGAACGGCUCAUUAUAUCAGCAAUAAUUUAUUUGAUGGUUCCUUACUACAUGGAUAACUGUAGUAAUUCUAGAGCUAAUACAUGCGCAAAGUCCUGACUCGCAAGGGGAGGGAUGUAUUUAUUAGAUAAAAAACCAAUGCGGGCUCUGCCCGGUUUUGUGGUGAAUCAUAGUAACUUAUCGAAUGGCAUAGCUUCACGCUGGCCAUAGGUCAUUCAAAUUUCUGCCCUAUCAGCUUUCGACGGUAGUGUAGUGGACUACCGUGGCGUUAACGGGUAACGGAGAAUUAGGGUUCGAUUCCGGAGAGGGAGCCUGAGAAACGGCUACCACAUCCAAGGAAGGCAGCAGG